RNAcentral lists this ribosomal RNA (486 nucleotides) under uncultured bacterium. RNAcentral's name for it is "partial 16S ribosomal RNA". It matches the Rfam family "Bacterial small subunit ribosomal RNA", at positions 30 to 507 of the family's 1533-position model. The record is from RNAcentral.
AUUGAACGCUGGCGGCAUGCCUUACACAUGCAAGUCGAACGGCAGCACGGGUGCUUGCACCUGGUGGCGAGUGGCGAACGGGUGAGUAAUACAUCGGAACAUGUCCUGUAGUGGGGGAUAGCCCGGCGAAAGCCUGAUUAAUACCGCAUACGAUCUACGGAUGAUAGCGGGGGACCUUCGUGCCUCGCGCUAUAGGGUUGGCCGAUGGCUGAUUAGCUAGUUGGUGGGGUAUAGGCCUACCAAGGCGACGAUCAGUAGCUGGUCUGAGAGGACGACCAGCCACACGGGGACUGAGACACGGCACAGACUCCUACGGGAGGCAGCAGUGGGGAAUUUUGGACAAUGGGGGAAAGCCGGAUACAGCAAUGCCGCGUGUGUGAAGAAGGACUUCGGGUGGGAAAGCACUUUUGUCCGGAAAGAAAUCAUUGGCCCUAAUACGGUCGGGGGAUGACGGUACCGGAAGAAUAAGCACCGGCUAACUACGUG